Molecule: ribosomal RNA, 426 nt
Filed under: uncultured bacterium
Lineage: Bacteria
Description: partial 16S ribosomal RNA
Rfam family: Bacterial small subunit ribosomal RNA
Source: RNAcentral
UGGGGAAUAUUGCACAAUGGGCGCAAGCCUGAUGCAGCCAUGCCGCGUGUAUGAAGAAGGCCUUCGGGUUGUAAAGUACUUUCAGCGAGGAGGAAGGCGGUAGGUUAAUAACCUUAUCGAUUGACGUUACUCGCAGAAGAAGCACCGGCUAACUCCGUGCCAGCAGCCGCGGUAAUACGGAGGGUGCAAGCGUUAAUCGGAAUUACUGGGCGUAAAGCGCACGCAGGCGGUCUGUCAAGUCGGAUGUGAAAUCCCCGGGCUCAACCUGGGAACUGCAUUCGAAACUGGCAGGCUAGAGUCUUGUAGAGGGGGGUAGAAUUCCAGGUGUAGCGGUGAAAUGCGUAGAGAUCUGGAGGAAUACCGGUGGCGAAGGCGGCCCCCUGGACAAAGACUGACGCUCAGGUGCGAAAGCGUGGGGAGCAAACA